Molecule: ribosomal RNA, 35 nt
Filed under: Pseudomonas fluorescens
Lineage: Bacteria; Pseudomonadati; Pseudomonadota; Gammaproteobacteria; Pseudomonadales; Pseudomonadaceae
Description: partial 16S ribosomal RNA
Source: RNAcentral
AGCCGUAGGGGAACCUGCGGCUGGAUCACCUCCUU